GCAUAUCAAUAAGCGGAGGAAAAGAAACCAACAGGGAUUGCCUCAGUAGCGGCGAGUGAAGCGGCAAAAGCUCAGAUUUGAAAUCCGGUGCGUUUACGCCCCCGAGUUGUAAUCUGGAGAGGAUUCUCCGGCGAGGUUGGCCGCCCAAGUUCCUUGGAACAGGACGUCUCAGAGGGUGAGAACCCCGUACCCGGCGGUUUGACCGAGCCAUGUGGAGUUCCUUCGACGAGUCGAGUUGUUUGGGAAUGCAGCUCAAACUGGGUGGUAAAUUCCAUCUAAAGCUAAAUACCGGCGGGAGACCGAUAGCGCACAAGUAGAGUGAUCGAAAGAUGAAAAGCACUUUGAAAAGAGAGUUAAAAAGUACGUGAAAUUGUUGAAAGGGAAGCGCUUGCCAUCAGAACCGGCGCCGGUCGAUCAACGUUCCUUCUGGUUCGUGCACUCGGCCGGCUGCCGUGCCAGCAUCGGUUUCCGCGGCGGGACAAAGACGGCGGGAAAGUGGCUCUCUUCGGGGAGUGUUAUAGCCCGCCGUGCAAUGCCGCCAGCAGGUGACCGAGGACCGCGACUUUGUCAAGGAUGCUGGCCUAAUGGUUGUAAGCGACCCGUCUUGAAACACGGACCAAGGAGUCUAACAUCCACGCGAGUGUUCGGGUGUCAAACCCGCGCGCGCAAUGAAAGUGAACGGAGGCGGGAGCCCGCAAGGGUGCACCGUCGACCGAUCCUGAUGUCCUCGGAUGGAUUUGAGUAGGAGCGUGGCUGUUGGGACCCGAAAGAUGGUGAACUAUGCCUGAAUAGGGUGAAGCCAGAGGAAACUCUGGUGGAGGCUCGCAGCGGUUCUSACGUGCAAAUCKMUCKUCRAAYKUGRGUAUAGGGGCGAAAGACUAAUCGAACCAUCUAGUAGCUGGUUCCUGCCGAAGUU
This 916-nucleotide ribosomal RNA is filed under the name Hyalorbilia tenuifusaria. Its description in RNAcentral is "partial large subunit ribosomal RNA". It matches the Rfam family "Eukaryotic large subunit ribosomal RNA", at positions 38 to 968 of the family's 3401-position model. The record is from RNAcentral. Lineage: Eukaryota; Fungi; Ascomycota; Orbiliomycetes; Orbiliales; Orbiliaceae.